This 60-nucleotide transfer RNA is filed under the name Bos taurus (domestic cattle). It matches the Rfam family "tRNA". From Rfam's summary of the family: Transfer RNA (tRNA) molecules are approximately 80 nucleotides in length. Their secondary structure includes four short double-helical elements and three loops (D, anti-codon, and T loops). Lineage: Eukaryota; Metazoa; Chordata; Mammalia; Artiodactyla; Bovidae. The record is from Rfam by way of RNAcentral. RNAcentral also lists the same sequence under 5 other names.
GACUCAAAUGGUAAAGAAUCUGCCUGUAAUGCAGAAGACCUGGGUUCAAUUCCUGGGUCG